UAUAGGUCUAAAACCAGCAGACAUUUCUGCACUCGAGCAUGUUCUAUGUAACACUCUCUCUCGUCUGCAGAUAGGAAAGAUGAGGUACGUUAGGGUGUCUCUUCCGAGGCAAGGUCCAGAACGCUAUCAGAGAGUUUACACCACUGACAUGGGCGACCUGAAGCCGGAGAGGAAAGGUUGGCUACGGUGUGGCGUUAAACCUGGAGAAGUGGAACCAGCUGAAGAAGAUAAUCCGAGACAUUGACACUGUGAUCCCGAAGAUCUAGACCCCCCACGGUGCCCAGUGAGCAGCCAUGACAGCCCAGAUCGAUUCCCCUCUACACAAGCGAACCUGUUGUCACUGACAGUAUAUCACUUUAUUUAAUCCACUGUUAAAUGGCUUUAACAUCCUGCAGAUAUGUUCAAUUAAAGCUCUUUGUUUUACAUUCCUCACUUUACAAAAUAGCUGUCUGUUCUGCAUUUAAAUUCUGUAUUGUUUUAUUUGUUAGUUGGCUUUAUAAGCCAUGGCUUUAGUUGCAAAGAACAGAUGUAUUUUCUGUGUAAGUGUUCUUGACAGCAUUUGUAAAUAGAGAGGACAAAUUAAUGAAGCCUAUAUGAAGUUAGUCGGGGUAGGUUUUUGUUAAAUAAUAGUAUGGUAGCCUGCACUAUCCAUUCAUCUUUGGAAAUGCAUACGUUUCUUGAAGUAACACACAGACUAAAAAACCUUUCUCCAUUAUUACUUUGCUCAUUUUCUCCCAUUAUCUGUUGAGUAAUCAGAUGCAUGGAUUAUGAUCUGAUCAUGGUUUUUAAUGGGGAAGAGCUGCUUUGGUGGUUCAGAAAUAUAUCCCACUAAUUACCAGACUGUAGACAGCAGUGGAAGCUGGUGGGAGGAGCUAUAGGAGGACAGGAUCAUUGUAAUGGCUGGAAUGGAAUUAAUGGAACGGUAUCAAACAUAUGGAAACACCAUGUUUGACUCUCCCAUUGAUUCCAUUCCAGCCAUUACAAUGAGCCUGUCCUCCUAUAGCUCCUCUCAUCAGCCUCCACUGGUAGAUAGUGUAAUGUUCAUUGUUACAUGCUGUUUGACACUGUAGUUAACUGAAGCCGCCUCUUAUAUUCCAGAAGAGAGAGCAAGAAGUCAAUGGAUUGAACACUGCAACUAACAAUGCAAGACCAUCAAGACAAUUAGCAAUAAAUGGGGACAAAAUAAAGGAAUGAUAGUAUGGAAAUAAAGUGGGAAGUUUUCACUUUGAGGGUAAUAGUAUGGAAAUAAAGUGGGAAGUUUUAACUUUGAGGGUAAUAGUAUGGAAAUAAAGUGGGAAGUUUUAACUUUGAGGGUGAUAGUAUGGAAAUAAAGUGGGAAGUUUUACACACAUAUUUAUUUGCAUCGAAAGAUGCUGCAGGUCUUGUCCUGGAGGUUUAAAGCAGUAUGUAGCCUAUUGGAAACAACGUGUAAGCAAAUAAAAAAAUAUUAAUUUAAAGGACAGUACCAUAUUGUAUCAUACAGUGCUCCACUGGUGUCAGAGUGGGAUGAAACUACUGAGAGGCCAUCAAAGGCAUGCCUGGCUGUAAGGGACUUGAGAUAAAGAAGCAUAGUGGCCUGUUUUCUGGAAGAAUUGGGUAGUUUAGAAAAGGAAGGAGGUGGCCCCAAACUUCUCCAAGCAGGUUGGGCAAUGCAAAGAAUUUGCACUCUGAUGGUGCAGUAUCAUACCGACAUCUGUGGGUGUCGCUCAAGAGCGGUGAAUGAAUAUGGCUCAAGAGCGGUGAAUAUGGCUAUCGCUUUCGUGUAGUCGUUCUCCCCCCAAUCAGCCCCUCUCUCUCGUACUAUGUUGUGUGCGAGUGUGUCGGAUUACCGUUCUCCUGGCAGCAGGAUAUUACACUUUUUUUUCCUUCAAAAUAAGAGUCCCCCUACAAAUACAUACUACUUUUUGGGAAUAUCGAUUUUCUUGGCGUGACUGUAGUAAAACAACUGUUUUUCAAAGUAUUGCAGCCACCUUUAAAAAAAGUGAUAAUUUGAUGUACUUUCAUUUUAAUAUUGUAUUAUUUAUAUCAGCAUUUCUUAAGAGAGUUUACACAAAUACUGGUAUGUUCAUAGGUAUUGUGUUGGUUAUAUUACAAAUAAUAUGUAAUUCAAAUUACUCAAUAGAGUCUACAAACCUUAAAUUGUGCUGUGCAAGGGGUUCAAUAUAGAGUGCUGGGGACUCCUUACUCCAUUCACUGCAAUGCAAUAGACUGUAGGACUAUAAAUUACAUAUUGGCUUAUAGAGAAAAAAACGACUCUGUGCUGAUGUAAAAGUGGGGUUGGGAAUACUCAGUAGGGUCUGUAGAAUCUAUAUAUGGUGUUAUUUCUUGGGGGACUGAGGUCUACAUACCCAGCAGCACUUUCUAAUUCCACCCAUUCCAGUGGUCCCAAUGCAAUACCAUGUAGGCC
Molecule: long non-coding RNA, 2407 nt
Filed under: Salmo salar (Atlantic salmon)
Lineage: Eukaryota; Metazoa; Chordata; Actinopteri; Salmoniformes; Salmonidae
Description: lncRNA (ENSSSAG00000109022.1)
Source: RNAcentral